This 274-nucleotide ribosomal RNA is filed under the name uncultured bacterium. RNAcentral describes it as "partial 16S ribosomal RNA". It matches the Rfam family "Bacterial small subunit ribosomal RNA", at positions 523 to 796 of the family's 1533-position model. The record is from RNAcentral.
AUACGGAGGAUGCAAGCGUUAUCCGGAUUUAUUGGGUUUAAAGGGUUCGUAGGCGGAAAAUUAAGUCAGUGGUGAAAGCCUGCAGCUCAACUGCAGAACUGCCAUUGAUACUGAUUUUCUUGAAUUUAUAUGAAGUGGGCGGAAUGCGUCAUGUAGCGGUGAAAUGCACGGAUAUGACGCAGAACACCAAUUGCGAAGGCAGCCCACUAAUGUAAUAUUGACGCUGAGGAACGAAAGCAUGGGGAGCGAACAGGAUUAGAUACCCCAGUAGUCC